CACAUGCAAGUCGAGGGGUAUAGUUCUUCGGAGCUAGAGACCGGCGCACGGGUGCGUAACGCGUAUGCAAUCUACCUUUUACAGGGGGAUAGCCCAGAGAAAUUUGGAUUAAUACCCCAUAGUAUAGUGAGUUGGCAUCAACCUACUAUUAAAGUCACAACGGUAAAAGAUGAGCAUGCGUCCCAUUAGCUAGUUGGUAAGGUAACGGCUUACCAAGGCAACGAUGGGUAGGGGUCCUGAGAGGGAGAUCCCCCACACUGGUACUGAGACACGGACCAGACUCCUACGGGAGGCAGCAGUGAGGAAUAUUGGACAAUGGGCGCAAGCCUGAUCCAGCCAUGCCGCGUGCAGGAUGACGGUCCUAUGGAUUGUAAACUGCUUUUGUACGAGAAGAAACACUCCUACGUGUAGGAGCUUGACGGUAUCGUAAGAAUAAGGAUCGGCUAACUCCGUGCCAGCAGCCGCGGUAAUACGGAGGAUCCAAGCGUUAUCCGGAAUCAUUGGGUUUAAAGGGUCCGUAGGCGGUCUUGUAAGUCAGUGGUGAAAGCCCAUCGCUCAACGGUGGAACGGCCAUUGAUACUGCAGGACUUGAAUUAUUAGGAAGUAACUAGAAUAUGUAGUGUAGCGGUGAAAUGCUUAGAGAUUACAUG
RNAcentral lists this ribosomal RNA (650 nucleotides) under uncultured Flavobacterium sp. Its description in RNAcentral is "bacterial SSU rRNA". It matches the Rfam family "Bacterial small subunit ribosomal RNA", at positions 52 to 703 of the family's 1533-position model. The record is from RNAcentral. Lineage: Bacteria; Pseudomonadati; Bacteroidota; Flavobacteriia; Flavobacteriales; Flavobacteriaceae.